AAGGAUUACAAGAUAAAGAUAAAU
Molecule: small RNA, 24 nt
Filed under: Brassica napus (rape)
Lineage: Eukaryota; Viridiplantae; Streptophyta; Magnoliopsida; Brassicales; Brassicaceae
Description: PsRNA_46
Source: RNAcentral